GGUUAGUAUGCUGUCAGGUUUGAUGGUGAGCAGACUUGCCAGCCCCUAUCUUCAGUGCAUCCCUAUUUUCUGAGGAACCACUCGGGUCAAGGAUGACCCACAUCUUAGUAGAAAGUUGCCCAUCUAGAGACGACCACAAGAUGAACACAGCAUGUUUGCGAUGCAACGGGCCCGUCUGCCUACAGCAUCAAACUGUCUUGUGUCCGAAGUGUGUGCCUCGUACGUAGGUAACGAAUUUGGCCGUUGCACUUGUCGUGGGUGGGGGCCCAUUUACUGUACAUAUCCAUUAGAUUUUGACCUCUAUGGGUCUGACACCUUUUCUGGCUGUGGAGACUUGUAUAUUGUAGUUUUAGGAAGGAUUCCCUCAAUUUAUUUUUUUAUAUAGGUUAUUUUGUAUUUUUUAUAAAUAUCUUUGUAAAUUAUUUUUUGUUUUAUACUUAUUUUUUUUAAAUAUUUGUAAUAAAUAUUAAAUUUGUAGAUGGGUAUUAUUUAUCUCUUCAGUAGUAUAGUAUUAUCUUUAAACUAAUUUUAGAAACUAUAAUGUACAGCAAAAAUGAAGUUACUGAUUUUUGGCAUCAUCAAAUACGUCGCCUCUGGUCUUUGACAACUUCACCGUUGGUUCCAUUAGGAGACAUGUGCACAGCAUGUUUGCUGCUAAGCGAUUUUUCACUAUUGCCACUUUAGUGGAAGAACUUAAAAUGCUAAAUAUCAUUCCUGAAU
Macrobrachium nipponense is the source of this 720-nucleotide long non-coding RNA. RefSeq lists it as uncharacterized. The transcript is spliced from 4 exons. The record is from RefSeq and is a predicted model, not a curated record. Lineage: Eukaryota; Metazoa; Arthropoda; Malacostraca; Decapoda; Palaemonidae.